This 447-nucleotide ribosomal RNA is filed under the name Carnobacterium maltaromaticum. RNAcentral's name for it is "bacterial SSU rRNA". It matches the Rfam family "Bacterial small subunit ribosomal RNA", at positions 1032 to 1479 of the family's 1533-position model. The record is from RNAcentral. Lineage: Bacteria; Bacillati; Bacillota; Bacilli; Lactobacillales; Carnobacteriaceae.
UGACAGGUGAACCAUGGUUGUCGUCAGCUCGUGUCGUGAGAUGUUGGGUUAAGUCCCGCAACGAGCGCAACCCUUAUUACUAGUUGCCAGCAUUUAGUUGGGCACUCUAGUGAGACUGCCGGUGACAAACCGGAGGAAGGUGGGGAUGACGUCAAAUCAUCAUGCCCCUUAUGACCUGGGCUACACACGUGCUACAAUGGAUGGUACAACGAGUCGCAAGGUCGCGAGGCCAAGCUAAUCUCUUAAAGCCAUUCUCAGUUCGGAUUGUAGGCUGCAACUCGCCUACAUGAAGCCGGAAUCGCUAGUAAUCGCGGAUCAGAACGCCGCGGUGAAUACGUUCCCGGGUCUUGUACACACCGCACGUCACACCACGAGAGUUUGUAACACCCGAAGCCGGUGAGGUAACCUUUUAGGAGCCAGCCGUCUAAGGUGGGAUAGAAAAUAUGG